RNAcentral lists this ribosomal RNA (407 nucleotides) under Verrucomicrobiota bacterium. RNAcentral describes it as "Verrucomicrobia bacterium partial 16S ribosomal RNA". It matches the Rfam family "Bacterial small subunit ribosomal RNA", at positions 355 to 776 of the family's 1533-position model. The record is from RNAcentral. Lineage: Bacteria; Pseudomonadati; Verrucomicrobiota.
UGGGGAAUAUUGGACAAUGGAGGAAACUCUGAUCCAGCAAUUCUGUGUGUGUGAAGAAGGUUUUAGGACUGUAAAACACUUCUAGUAGGGAAGAAAAAAAUGACGGUACCUACAGAAGAAGCAACGGCUAAAUACGUGCCAGCAGCCGCGGUAAUACGUAUGUUGCGAGCGUUAUCCGGAAUUAUUGGGCUUAAAGGGCAUCUAGGCGGUAAGACAAGUUGAAGGUGAAAACCUGUGGCUCAACCAUAGGCUUGCCUACAAAACUGUUGAACUAGAGUACUGGAAAGGUGGGUGGAACUACACGAGUAGAGGUGAAAUUCGUAGAUAUGUGUCGGAAUGCCGAUGAUGAAGAUAACUCACUGGACAGAAACUGACGCUGAAGUGCGAAAGCUAGGGGAGCCAACAGG